CACCAACUCUGGCCUCUAUAAUUGACUUUGACCACAUAGGGAACAAUAACACCUAUCGUCGAGUCCAACAUCCAGAAAGAGUCCAAUCCAACACUUCGUUCUCUGCCUCCAUGGUAGUACCAAGAAGAUGAUGUAAACAGAAAAAUCGACCACCUAUCCUCCUUCAUGUGCUUCUAGUAGUCGGUGCAAUGAUGUUCAUCGCACUCUUAGAAGCAGUUGCGCUGACGUUUUCUUGCACUGAUGCCGACAAGUUUGACUUAAUCGACUCAGAAAAGUCGAUCCAAUCAAAUUUCUUCAACUCUGACAAUGAAGGCUUCCUCUCAAUCAAUGAUUGCAACCUCAGUGAUGUGAGGUCCAUGAUUGGAGGAUUAAAUUGACUUCCCUAAAAUCAAUAGACUUAAGGCUUAAAAGCUUGCUAAACUACCAACGACUUUAAGAUGAAGGUGGUGGUUAUGGAUUGAGGAAUAGGUGGGAGUCCCUUGUUCAAUCUAUCGACCCAGAUACUGUGUCCUAUUUUGGGCGACUCCUAUUUUGCUUGCUGUUUUGGGUUGUUGAGGUGGUGUUUUGUGGAUCUAUUUGUGAUGCAUGUGUGUGAUUGUUUGUGCUAUGUGUAUGGUAUAUUUGGAGGCGGUGGUGAUGGAUUAUAGUGGUGAUUUGUGU
This 660-nucleotide long non-coding RNA is filed under the name Olea europaea subsp. europaea. The record is from RNAcentral. Lineage: Eukaryota; Viridiplantae; Streptophyta; Magnoliopsida; Lamiales; Oleaceae.